Molecule: long non-coding RNA, 1312 nt
Organism: Triticum aestivum (bread wheat)
Lineage: Eukaryota; Viridiplantae; Streptophyta; Magnoliopsida; Poales; Poaceae
Exons: 3
Source: RefSeq, a predicted model, not a curated record
UUGAAUUUUAUUUAUUUUUAGUUUUCCAGAUAAUGUGGUUCAUGCUGAUGUGAUCAGAGACAUUAUGAUUGAUGCUACAUCCUCUCUUUGUCCAUAGAUCUAGGUUUUUACACAUCGCUGGUACUUGUUAUAUUGUUUGGAUCUGACUGUUCUGCGUAAUCACCAAAAUUAACUGUGACCAGGAUCCAUGCGGGAAACAUGCAGUGUACAGAGAAAUCAGCGCUUUCACAGGCUGAUAGGAGAAAUUUUUGGGUGGGGCCUGCAUGUUUGGAGAGAAUUGUCGUGUCAUAGUGCUAACUAGGAAAAUGUUGAGGAGGUCCUGUUGCGUCCCAUGUUCAAUAUAAGGGGGUGUUAAAAGGGACUCGAAGCAUUUUCAUGUGUCGAUGGCACGAGAGAUCCUCCCGAUACUCUCCUCAAGGUUGACCCAACUAGAUCCUGAUGCGCCAGCGGCACGGGUGGUCAGGCCUGAGCAGCGAGCUCUUCUGCCCCCUCCUCAUUGGAUCGGCGGCCAGGGAGGCCAGAUCGUGUGGCACGAGAGAAGGCUCAUGUGUGAGGAAGGGGAGCAGCAACAUGCGUCGAUUGGGGAAGGGAGGAGCAACGGGUGCCACUGAAGGGAGGGGAGCAGCGGCAAGCGCGGAGGGAGGGGAGCACGGGAGCCCCAAGGGAGGCGGAGCAGCGGCAGGUGGCGUGGAGGUUGGAGAUCUUGGUGAGGACGGCGCGACGCGAGGUCAUGGUGGCAUGUGUCGGAGCAGUGGUAGGUGGCGUGUGCAGGUAAAUAGCAACAUCACUACCUCUUUUAUUAUGUGCAUAUUACAUUUUGAAUAUUUCAAGUAACCAGAUGGACGUGAACAUAUACACAUAAUCCACUUUCCGGUUGAAGCUUAUUUUCUUGCAUGAGUGGUGAAGAAAAUGAGUGACAAGGAUGAUGAGAAUAAAGGGAGUGCAAUGUGGUUAUUGAAGAAGGGCAAGGAAGAGGAAGACACAUGUUAGUCGGGUGAAGUCAGCAGCGAUCGCUAUCAGUGAUGUUAUUGGCCAAAUAGGUUGUCUAAACAUUUUGCUAGGUCUCCCUCAGGGAUGAUGGUGUAACCUUGUUUCAAGUAGAUAAACAGAAGUGGGCUAAAAGAGUGUCAUAUUACAACAGAUCAGUUGGUGUGAAACUAGAUGUUGGACUAAUACGUAAUGUAAUGGGCAUGAAUGCAUUCUUUUGAGGAUUGGUGGUUGCAGCAGCGCCUGAUCAUGGUUAUAAAUCUUUUUGCUGCUAAAAAGACGUUGUCACUUGGAGAAAUAUAUGAUAGGGCCUGAUUGGAGUUUA